Onychostoma macrolepis is the source of this 404-nucleotide long non-coding RNA. RefSeq lists it as uncharacterized. The record is from RefSeq and is a predicted model, not a curated record. NCBI's taxonomy places the organism in Eukaryota, Metazoa, Chordata, Actinopteri, Cypriniformes, Cyprinidae. The transcript has 3 exons.
UUGUCUUGAGCUGAUCAGCAAACUGUGGUAGUGUUGGUUGAUUGGUGUCUAUAUUUGUUCAAGCUUGACAACCUUAUGACUUUAUUUUCUAAUAUAUAUAUUUCUCAUUACAGAUAAGAACAAAGAUUAAAUUGUAAGAAGGGUUGCUUAUAAAAGCAUACAGUACAUCUGAAACUGCUGAGGCUGGGAAGGUUUUUGACUAUAUUUCCGACCAGAUCAGCUGCUAUAGAAGACAAAAUGAAAUCUGAGUGCAGAGACAAGCAAAGGAAUACUGCAAGACACUACUGACUAGGCUGUGCCCAGGUAUCCGGAACCUGCGACGACGCUCAGCUCCAUCGGCCCUUAGUCUGCGGCUUCGGAUCCACCAGCUCUGUCUCCAACGGUCGGCCCCCAGAUGUCGGCAG